GUCGAUCUCUAGUGGAUCUUCUCAAUGGAAUCUCAACUGGUGGUGGAGGUGCUUAUUCAGUUGGUUCAGCAUCAUCAACUGUAGGAGUAUCAUCACUUGCAUUCUCACCAUGAUCUUCUUAUUCAUCUCCCCCAUGAUCAUCAUGAACUACAGGUGAAGGAACUGGACCCAAACUCCAAGGAAUAUAAACAGAGGUUUCUGGCUUCUCAAUAUUAUCACCAUUAUCAAACAAUUGGUCUUCAAGAAACACAACAUCUC
This 258-nucleotide long non-coding RNA is filed under the name Musa acuminata (dwarf banana). RNAcentral describes it as "long non-coding RNA (MACU_LNC006653)". Lineage: Eukaryota; Viridiplantae; Streptophyta; Magnoliopsida; Zingiberales; Musaceae. The record is from RNAcentral.